RNAcentral lists this ribosomal RNA (497 nucleotides) under uncultured bacterium. RNAcentral's name for it is "partial 16S ribosomal RNA". It matches the Rfam family "Bacterial small subunit ribosomal RNA", at positions 28 to 507 of the family's 1533-position model. The record is from RNAcentral.
GAUGAACGCUGGCGGCGUGCCUAAUACAUGCAAGUCGAGCGAACGGACGAGAAGCUUGCUUCUCUGAUGUUAGCGGCGGACGGGUGAGUAACACGUGGAUAACCUACCUAUAAGACUGGGAUAACUUCGGGAAACCGGAGCUAAUACCGGAUGAUAUUUUGAACCGCAUGGUUCAAAAGUGAAAGACGGUCUUGCUGUCACUUAUAGAUGGAUCCGCGCUGCAUUAGCUAGUUGGUAAGGUAACGGCUUACCAAGGCAACGAUGCAUAGCCGACCUGAGAGGGUGAUCGGCCACACUGGAACUGAGACACGGUCCAGACUCCUACGGGAGGCAGCAGUAGGGAAUCUUCCACAAUGGGCGAAAGCCUGACGGAGCAACGCCGCGUGAGUGAUGAAGGUCUUCGGAUCGUAAAACUCUGUUAUGAGGGAAGAACAUAUGUGUAAGUAACUGUGCACAUCUUGACGGUACCUAAUCAGAAAGCCACGGCUAACUACGUG